GCUGUCACCAUGUGAAUUUACAUUUAUGUUUAUUCAGGAGAGACAGGAAAGUGUCCCUCUGGGAGGCCUGAUCCUUAACCUCUGCACCCUAAAUUCUGAGACCCACCAAGGCAGUUCCAUAUCAAAUCAGCAGCCUUUCUUGCUCACUGGAUGACAACACUCCUCAGGCCUCUUGCAGCUGUAGCCUGGGCCCAAGUGUCUCGGCCUGCUAUAAGAGCCUGGCUGCAGUUAGAGUCUCUCUAGUGGAAUCUCAGACGAAGCCCUUUCAGAGUAGGCAGGGAGACAGACACAUGAGGAAAUUCACUUCAGCAGGGCAUCUGCUAAGCGUGGCAGGAUUCCUGCUCCAGACUCUCAAAGCCUCCUAUUAAUGGAAAGAGCAGGUUAACCUGGUCUGACCGACAGGAAGCCACCGUACAGGAAUAGGUGGAGCCCUGACAUCCGGUGGGGACAGCUGGGGGAGCGGAUGGGGGAGGGGACACCUAGGUGUGCCAGGGGAACCGAGGUAAAGCUAAGGUCCAGGUGGCCAGCGUGCUGGGUGGCUAUGGGCCACACGAGGGCGCCACACACUGCCACGUAAGGGCCUGAACUGUCUCUACUGAGCUAUGUCAGAGAAAAGGCCUUGAUGGGAAAGAGGGUGGGCGGAGACCAUCCUGGGUGUCCAGCGACGGGCCCCUCUCUUGUUCCUUGAAGGUCGGCGUGAGGUCUCCCUGGACUUGGAACAGCCGCUGUUCAGGUCCUGAGGAAUUAACGCCUCUGUAGAUCAGGUCCAGCUGUGUGUAGGAGGGAGGAUGUUUGCGGUCACUGGGGUGUGUUGUGUUAGGAAUGACCGCAGUACUGGGGUGUGAGGGUGGGUGUGUGGAUUUCUCCAGAGGUGUAGGUGGGAGGGAGUAGACAGUUUCUACUCCCAGAGGGCUGGCGCUAGUGUCUUCUAGGAGCAGCACUUAAGGCAAGAUGUAGACCCCAUUAGAAUCAGACGGUCUUCCCAUCAGAGGAAGUCCCCCG
RNAcentral lists this long non-coding RNA (1002 nucleotides) under Mus spicilegus (steppe mouse). Its description in RNAcentral is "lncRNA (ENSMSIG00000010365.1)". Lineage: Eukaryota; Metazoa; Chordata; Mammalia; Rodentia; Muridae. The record is from RNAcentral.